This 433-nucleotide ribosomal RNA is filed under the name uncultured eukaryote. Its description in RNAcentral is "bacterial SSU rRNA". It matches the Rfam family "Eukaryotic small subunit ribosomal RNA", at positions 1351 to 1804 of the family's 1831-position model. The record is from RNAcentral.
UUAAAUAGCAGCGCGAAGAUAGCCUUCUUGCAUUGCUUCUUAGAAGGACGUUGCAUGUCUAAUGCAAGGAAGUUGGAGGCAAUAACAGGUCUGUGAUGCCCUUAGAUGUUCUGGGCUGCACGCGUGCUACACUGACGCGUUCAACGAGUUUACCUUUGGCCGUCAGGCUUUAAGAGUAAUCUGCUGAAAACGCAUCGUGAUGGGAAUAAACGAUUGUAAGUAUUCGUCUUGAACGAGGAAUUCCUAGUAAGCAUGAGUCAUCGGCUCGUGCUGAUUACGUCCCUGCCCUUUGUACACACCGCCCGUCGCUCCUACCGAUUGGAUGAUCCGGUGAAUCUGUUGGACAGUGCCGCAAGCAGUUCGCUGCACGUGAGUGCUGGAAAAUAUGUGAACCUUAUCAUUUAGAGGAAGGAGAAGUCGUAACAAGGUCUUC